CACUAUCGUUAACUGAAUACAUAGGUUAACGAGGCGAACCGGGGGAACUGAAACAUCUAAGUACCCCGAGGAAAAGAAAUCAACCGAGAUUCCCCCAGUAGCGGCGAGCGAACGGGGAGCAGCCCAGAGUCUGAAUCAGCUUGUGUGUUAGUGGAACGGUCUGGAAAGUCCGACGGUACAGGGUGAUAGUCCCGUACACCAAAAUGCACAGGCUGUGAACUCGAAGAGUAGGGCGGGACACGUGGUAUCCUGUCUGAAUAUGGGGGGACCAUCCUCCAAGGCUAAAUACUCCUGACUGACCGAUAGUGAACCAGUACCGUGAGGGAAAGGCGAAAAGAACCCCGGCGAGGGGAGUGAAAAAGAACCUGAAACCGUGUACGUACAAGCAGUGGGAGCACCUUCGGGUGUGACUGCGUACCUUUUGUAUAAUGGGUCAGCGACUUAUAUUCUGUAGCAAGGUUAACCGUAUAGGGGAGCCGCAGGGAAACCGAGUCUUAACUGGGCGUUAAGUUGCAGGGUAUAGACCCGAAACCCGGUGAUCUAGCCAUGGGCAGGUUGAAGGUUGGGUAACACUAACUGGAGGACCGAACCGACUAAUGUUGAAAAAUUAGCGGAUGACUUGUGGCUGGGGGUGAAAGGCCAAUCAAACCGGGAGAUAGCUGGUUCUCCCCGAAAGCUAUUUAGGUAGCGCCUCGUGAAUUCAUCUUCGGGGGUAGAGCACUGUUUCGGCUAGGGGGUCAUCCCGACUUACCAACCCGAUGCAAACUACGAAUACCGAAGAAUGUUAUCACGGGAGACACACGGCGGGUGCUAACGUCCGUCGUGAAGAGGGAAACAACCCAGACCGCCAGCUAAGGUCCCAAAGUCAUGGUUAAGUGGGAAACGAUGUGGGAAGGCACAGACAGCCAGGAUGUUGGCUUAGAAGCAGCCAUCAUUUAAAGAAAGCGUAAUAGCUCACUGGUCGAGUCGGCCUGCGCGGAAGAUGUAACGGGGCUAAACCAUGCACCGAAGCUGCGGCAGCGACACUAUGUGUUGUUGGGUAGGGGAGCGUUCUGUAAGCCUGCGAAGGUGACCUGUGAGGGUUGCUGGAGGUAUCAGAAGUGCGAAUGCUGACAUAAGUAACGAUAAAGCGGGUGAAAAGCCCGCUCGCCGGAAGACCAAGGGUUCCUGUCCAACGUUAAUCGGGGCAGGGUGAGUCGACCCCUAAGGCGAGGCCGAAAGGCGUAGUCGAUGGGAAACAGGUUAAUAUUCCUGUACUUGGUGUUACUGCGAAGGGGGGACGGAGAAGGCUAUGUUAGCCGGGCGACGGUUGUCCCGGUUUAAGCAUGUAGGCUGAUUGUCCAGGCAAAUCCGGAUAAUCAAGGCUGAGGUGUGAUGACGAGGCACUACGGUGCUGAAGUAACAAAUGCCCUGCUUCCAGGAAAAGCCUCUAAGCAUCAGGUAACAUCAAAUCGUACCCCAAACCGACACAGGUGGUCAGGUAGAGAAUACCAAGGCGCUUGAGAGAACUCGGGUGAAGGAACUAGGCAAAAUGGUGCCGUAACUUCGGGAGAAGGCACGCUGGUGUGUAGGUGAAGCCCCUGCGGGUGGAGCUGAGACCAGUCGAAGAUACCAGCUGGCUGCAACUGUUUAUUAAAAACACAGCACUGUGCAAACACGAAAGUGGACGUAUACGGUGUGACGCCUGCCCGGUGCCGGAAGGUUAAUUGAUGGGGUUAUCCGUAAGGAGAAGCUCUUGAUCGAAGCCCCGGUAAACGGCGGCCGUAACUAUAACGGUCCUAAGGUAGCGAAAUUCCUUGUCGGGUAAGUUCCGACCUGCACGAAUGGCGUAAUGAUGGCCAGGCUGUCUCCACCCGAGACUCAGUGAAAUUGAACUCGCUGUGAAGAUGCAGUGUACCCGCGGCAAGACGGAAAGACCCCGUGAACCUUUACUAUAGCUUGACACUGAACAUUGAGCCUUGAUGUGUAGGAUAGGUGGGAGGCUUUGAAGCGUGGACGCCAGUCUGCGUGGAGCCAACCUUGAAAUACCACCCUUUAAUGUUUGAUGUUCUAACGUUGGCCCCUUACCGGGGUUGCGGACAGUGUCUGGUGGGUAGUUUGACUGGGGCGGUCUCCUCCCAAAGCGUAACGGAGGAGCACGAAGGUUAGCUAAUCCUGGUCGGACAUCAGGAGGUUAGUGCAAUGGCAUAAGCUAGCUUGACUGCGAGCGUGACGGCGCGAGCAGGUGCGAAAGCAGGUCAUAGUGAUCCGGUGGUUCUGAAUGGAAGGGCCAUCGCUCAACGGAUAAAAGGUACUCCGGGGAUAACAGGCUGAUACCGCCCAAGAGUUCAUAUCGACGGCGGUGUUUGGCACCUCGAUGUCGGCUCAUCACAUCCUGGGGCUGAAGUAGGUCCCAAGGGUAUGGCUGUUCGCCAUUUAAAGUGGUACGCGAGCUGGGUUUAGAACGUCGUGAGACAGUUCGGUCCCUAUCUGCCGUGGGCGCUGGAGAAUUGAGGGGGGCUGCUCCUAGUACGAGAGGACCGGAGUGGACGCAUCACUGGUGUUCGGGUUGUCAUGCCAAUGGCACUGCCCGGUAGCUAAAUGCGGAAGAGAUAAGUGCUGAAAGCAUCUAAGCACGAAACUUGCCCCGAGAUGAGUUCUCCCUGAGACUUUAAGUCUCCUGAAGGAACGUUGAAGACGACGACGUUGAUAGGCCGGGUGUGUAAGCGCAGCGAUGCGUUGAGCUAACCGGUACUAAUGAACCGUGAGGCUUAACCUU
RNAcentral lists this ribosomal RNA (2758 nucleotides) under Klebsiella pneumoniae. RNAcentral describes it as "bacterial LSU rRNA". It matches the Rfam family "Bacterial large subunit ribosomal RNA". Lineage: Bacteria; Pseudomonadati; Pseudomonadota; Gammaproteobacteria; Enterobacterales; Enterobacteriaceae. The record is from RNAcentral.